RNAcentral lists this ribosomal RNA (660 nucleotides) under Allobosea sp. N-YB-2107. Its description in RNAcentral is "bacterial SSU rRNA". It matches the Rfam family "Bacterial small subunit ribosomal RNA", at positions 87 to 782 of the family's 1533-position model. Lineage: Bacteria; Pseudomonadati; Pseudomonadota; Alphaproteobacteria; Hyphomicrobiales; Alloboseaceae. The record is from RNAcentral.
CGGUGCUAGUGGCAGACGGGUGAGUAACGCGUGGGAACGUGCCUUUCGGUUCGGAAUAAUCCAGGGAAACUUGGACUAAUACCGGAUACGCCCUUCGGGGGAAAGAUUUAUCGCCGAAAGAUCGGCCCGCGUCUGAUUAGCUAGUUGGUGAGGUAAAGGCUCACCAAGGCGACGAUCAGUAGCUGGUCUGAGAGGAUGAUCAGCCACAUUGGGACUGAGACACGGCCCAAACUCCUACGGGAGGCAGCAGUGGGGAAUAUUGGACAAUGGGCGCAAGCCUGAUCCAGCCAUGCCGCGUGAGUGAUGAAGGCCUUAGGGUUGUAAAGCUCUUUUGUCCGGGAAGAUAAUGACUGUACCGGAAGAAUAAGCCCCGGCUAACUUCGUGCCAGCAGCCGCGGUAAUACGAAGGGGGCUAGCGUUGCUCGGAAUCACUGGGCGUAAAGGGCGCGUAGGCGGACUUUUAAGUCGGAGGUGAAAGCCCAGGGCUCAACCCUGGAAUUGCCUUCGAUACUGGGAGUCUUGAGUUCGGAAGAGGUUGGUGGAACUGCGAGUGUAGAGGUGAAAUUCGUAGAUAUUCGCAAGAACACCGGUGGCGAAGGCGGCCAACUGGUCCGAAACUGACGCUGAGGCGCGAAAGCGUGGGGAGCAAACAGGAUUAGA